RNAcentral lists this ribosomal RNA (497 nucleotides) under uncultured bacterium. Its description in RNAcentral is "partial 16S ribosomal RNA". It matches the Rfam family "Bacterial small subunit ribosomal RNA", at positions 28 to 507 of the family's 1533-position model. The record is from RNAcentral.
GAUGAACGCUGGCGGCGUGCCUAAUACAUGCAAGUCGAGCGAACAGACGAGGAGCUUGCUCCUCUGACGUUAGCGGCGGACGGGUGAGUAACACGUGGAUAACCUACCUAUAAGACUGGGAUAACUUCGGGAAACCGGAGCUAAUACCGGAUAACAUGUUGAACCGCAUGGUUCAACAGUGAAAGACGGUUUUGCUGUCACUUAUAGAUGGAUCCGCGUCGCAUUAGCUAGUUGGUAAGGUAACGGCUUACCAAGGCAACGAUGCGUAGCCGACCUGAGAGGGUGAUCGGCCACACUGGAACUGAGACACGGUCCAGACUCCUACGGGAGGCAGCAGUAGGGAAUCUUCCGCAAUGGGCGCAAGCCUGACGGAGCAACGCCGCGUGAGUGAAGAAGGUCUUCGGAUCGUAAAACUCUGUUAUUAGGGAAGAACAAAUGUGUAAGUAACUAUGCACGUCUUGACGGUACCUAAUCAGAAAGCCACGGCUAACUACGUG